RNAcentral lists this ribosomal RNA (620 nucleotides) under uncultured Sphaerobacter sp. RNAcentral describes it as "bacterial SSU rRNA". It matches the Rfam family "Bacterial small subunit ribosomal RNA", at positions 428 to 1059 of the family's 1533-position model. The record is from RNAcentral. Lineage: Bacteria; Pseudomonadati; Thermomicrobiota; Thermomicrobia; Sphaerobacterales; Sphaerobacteraceae.
AACCCCUUUUCGGGCGGACGAAGCCAAUGACGGUACGCCCGGAAGAAGGCCCGGCUAACUACGUGCCAGCAGCCGCGGUAAGACGUAGGGGCCGAGCGUUGUCCGGAGUUACUGGGCGUAAAGCGCGCGCAGGCGGUCGUGCACGUCGGGUGUGAAAGCCCCCCGCUCAACGGGGGAGGGUCAUUCGAAACGGCGCGACUGGAGGCAGGGAGAGGUCGGUGGAAUUCCCGGUGUAGUGGUGAAAUGCGUAGAGAUCGGGAGGAACACCAGUGGCGAAGGCGGCCGACUGGACCUGGCCUGACGCUGAGGCGCGAAGGCGUGGGGAGCGAACGGGAUUAGAUACCCCGGUAGUCCACGCAGUAAACGAUGUGCACUAGGUGUGGCGGGUGUAGACCCCCGCCGUGCCGGCGCUAACGCAGUAAGUGCACCGCCUGGGGAGUACGGCCGCAAGGCUAAAACUCAAAGGAAUUGACGGGGGCCCGCACAAGCAGCGGAGCGUGUGGUUUAAUUCGACGCAACGCGCAGAACCUUACCAGGGCUUGACGUCCGCGGAACCCCGGUGAAAGCCGGGGGUGCCCUUCGGGGAGCCGCGAGACAGGUGUUGCAUGGCUGUCGUCAGC